This 291-nucleotide unclassified non-coding RNA is filed under the name uncultured fungus. RNAcentral describes it as "partial contains small subunit ribosomal RNA, internal transcribed spacer 1, and 5.8S ribosomal RNA". The stretch from base 1 to 73 matches the Rfam family "Eukaryotic small subunit ribosomal RNA", at positions 1759 to 1831 of the family's 1831-position model. The record is from RNAcentral. Lineage: Eukaryota; Fungi.
ACAAACUUGGUCAUUUAGAGGAAGUAAAAGUCGUAACAAGGUCUCCGUUGGUGAACCAGCGGAGGGAUCAUUACUUAUUUCCUGGAGCGCUCCUCCCCGGGGGAGCCGCGCCGGAAACACCCCGUGAACCAUACCAUUGUUGCCUCGGCGUGGCGUGGCCCCUAACAGGGCCCGUCCGCCGGUGGACCUAAAAACACUCUUUACCCACUGGAACUCUGAUUUAGUGAAAACAAAUGUGAUAAAACUUUCAACAACGGAUCUCUUGGCUCCAGCAUCGAUGAAGAACGCAGC